CAAUAGCGUAUAUUAAAGUUGUUGCAGUUAAAAGCUCGUAGUCGGAUUUCGGGUCGGGCCGAGCGGUCUGCCGAUGGGUAUGCACUGUUUGGCGCGGCCUUCUUUCCGGAGACCGCGGCUACUCUUAACUGAGCGGGCGUGGGAGACGGAUCGUUUACUUUGAAAAAUCAGAGUGUUUCUAGCAGGCAGCUCGCUCUUGCAUAGGUUAGCAUGGGAUAAUUUAAUAGGACUCUGGUGCUAUUUUGUUGGUUUCGAACACCGGAGUAAUGAUUAAAAGGGGCAGUCAGGGGCACUCGUAUUCCGUCGAGAGAGGUGAAAUUCUCAGACCAAUGGAAGACGAACCACUGCGAAAGCAUUUGCCAGGGAUGUUUUCACUGAUCAAGAACGAAAGUUAGGGGAUCGAAGACGAUCAGAU
RNAcentral lists this ribosomal RNA (415 nucleotides) under uncultured eukaryote. RNAcentral's name for it is "SSU rRNA". It matches the Rfam family "Eukaryotic small subunit ribosomal RNA", at positions 592 to 1013 of the family's 1831-position model. The record is from RNAcentral.